RNAcentral lists this non-coding RNA (118 nucleotides) under Amorphochlora amoebiformis. Lineage: Eukaryota; Cercozoa; Chlorarachniophyceae. The record is from RNAcentral.
UUUUCUUCUUUUUUCUCUUUCUUUUUCCUUCCCUCUUUGAACAAUUAGUGGGUGGACGUGUAAGUACGAAACGUACGAAAAUCUCAGUCCCUAACUCAAAGAGGCUUCGAAAGGGACU